UGAGUCAGAAGACACCAUCCUGCAGUCCAGGGAGCAGCAUGUAAUGGCACACAGAUGCUGGACUCUGGUGCUGUGGAAGACAGAGUUCUCCAGAAAACCUCAUUGGACUGCACACCCCUCCUGGAUCCUGUGACCAACUCCCUUAUGUUUAUUGUACCGGGCUUCACAGACCAGGCACUCAAUAAAUAAGGGUAGAGAUCUAGAUAAGGUUUUCCUUGGUUGCCUCGAGAGAGCCGGUGCCUGAGGACACAGAAUCCCCGCUGGCUGCAGCCCUCAUUGCCAAACCUGCUGAUAGCUGUGGAGUUGCAGUUGCUGAUUAGGACAGCGGUUGCUCCAAGGGCAGCCACUGGGAUAAAACAACCCCAAAGGGUGCAUACUAUGAGCGCGGAGUCAAGAACAGAUACACAUUAAUGGACACAAAUCCUGGUACAGCUGCCUGCCCUGAACUCACAGACACAGAGUUUAGGAAGACUCAGGCGGAAGCAGCCGUGCCUUAGAUGGAAAGAACCACGAGGUCCGUGCGUCCCAGAACACAGUGAAGUCAAGGAAGUUUGGACAAAGGAAGUCACUAAAGGCCAAGUUCAACUUGUGAGCAAUAUUCUGGAGUUGUGAAAGAAACUCCGGCAUCACUGCAGGCAAUUAUGCAAGUGGCAUUUUGCAAUUAUACAUUCACACUAAACCCUGAACAAGCCUAAUUCCAUCAUGGUGGUGGGUUGUUGUUUGAUCCCCCAAAAGUAGAUGGGGUAAUAACAAAGUAAGCAGAAACGCCUCUGAAUAAUCCACUGCUGUGAGUGCACAGGGAAAAGGAAUAGUCUGGCCUCUGUAGACCAGCCGAGAUGUCUAUAAAUGAGAGACUGACUUAAUACAUUGUGGGAAUCUCUAAAAUAUAAUGUUAUGCAACCGGUUAAAAUGGUGUUCCAUAUUUAUUGACGAGGAAAGAUGUUGACGCGGCAAGCCUGUAGGUGACUAAAGCCUAUGCAACUAAAGCCCAAAGCUAUGCACAUCUACUGUGACAUUUUUGUGAAAGAAAAAAAAAUGAGGUUUUAAUUUCUUUCUUUAGGUUUCUGAAGGAUGUGAAUUUUAAAAAGUAGGGUGUUGAGCUGGAAAAAUCGCUAAGCGUUAAAAGCUCUCGCU
Peromyscus maniculatus bairdii (prairie deer mouse) is the source of this 1134-nucleotide non-coding RNA. The record is from RefSeq and is a predicted model, not a curated record. NCBI's taxonomy places the organism in Eukaryota, Metazoa, Chordata, Mammalia, Rodentia, Cricetidae.